Molecule: ribosomal RNA, 447 nt
Filed under: uncultured bacterium
Lineage: Bacteria
Description: bacterial SSU rRNA
Rfam family: Bacterial small subunit ribosomal RNA
Source: RNAcentral
UCGGGAAUUUUGGGCAAUGGGCGAAAGCCUGACCCAGCAACGCCGCGUGAAGGAUGAAGUAUUUCGGUAUGUAAACUUCGAAAGAAUAGGAAGAAUAAAUGACGGUACUAUUUAUAAGGUCCGGCUAACUACAUGCCAGCAGCCGCGGUAAUACGUAGGGACCAAGCGUUGUUCGGAUUUACUGGGCGUAAAGGGCGCGUAGGCGGCAAUUCAAGUCAUCUGUGAAAUCUCCGGGCUUAACUCGGAACGGUCAGAUGAUACUGCUUUGCUAGAGUGCAGAAGGGGCAAUCGGAAUUCUUGGUGUAGCGGUGAAAUGCGUAGAUAUCAAGAGGAACACCUGAGGCGAAGGCGGGUUGCUGGGCUGAUACUGACGCUGAGGCGCGAAAGCUAGGGUAGCAAACGGGAUUAGAUACCCAAGUAGUCCCUGAGCGGGCUGGCAAGGCGCAU